This 78-nucleotide small nucleolar RNA is filed under the name Leptobrachium leishanense (Leishan spiny toad). RNAcentral's name for it is "Small nucleolar RNA SNORD53/SNORD92 (ENSLLEG00000012600.1)". It matches the Rfam family "Small nucleolar RNA SNORD53/SNORD92". From Rfam's summary of the family: U53 is a member of the C/D class of snoRNA which contain the C (UGAUGA) and D (CUGA) box motifs. Lineage: Eukaryota; Metazoa; Chordata; Amphibia; Anura; Megophryidae. The record is from Rfam by way of RNAcentral.
GCGCAGUGAUGAUCAGAGAAUGGUUUCGCAAACAUCUGAAAUGCCGUGACAGAGCAUCUCUCUUGGCUGUCUGAGCGC